CCGUACCUACGGGGCGCAGCAGUGAGGAAUAUUGGUCAAUGGGCGAGAGCCUGAACCAGCCAAGUCGCGUGAAGGAUGACGGCCCUACGGGUUGUAAACUUCUUUUGUCAGGGAGCAAUUGGGUCCACGCGUGGGCUUAGCGAGAGUACCUGAAGAAAAAGCAUCGGCUAACUCCGUGCCGGCAGCCGCGGUAAUACGGAGGAUGCGAGCGUUAUCCGGAUUUAUUGGGUUUAAAGGGUGCGUAGGCGGAAUAUAAAGUCAGCGGUAAAAAUUGGGGGAUAA
RNAcentral lists this ribosomal RNA (282 nucleotides) under uncultured bacterium. Its description in RNAcentral is "partial 16S ribosomal RNA". It matches the Rfam family "Bacterial small subunit ribosomal RNA", at positions 331 to 611 of the family's 1533-position model. The record is from RNAcentral.